RNAcentral lists this ribosomal RNA (447 nucleotides) under uncultured bacterium. RNAcentral describes it as "bacterial SSU rRNA". It matches the Rfam family "Bacterial small subunit ribosomal RNA", at positions 355 to 825 of the family's 1533-position model. The record is from RNAcentral.
UCGGGAAUUUUGGGCAAUGGGGGAAACCCUGACCCAGCAACGCCGCGUGAAGGAUGAAGUAUUUCGGUAUGUAAACUUCGAAAGAAUAGGAAGAAUAAAUGACGGUACUAUUUAUAAGGUCCGGCUAACUACGUGCCAGCAGCCGCGGUAAUACGUAGGGACCAAGCGUUGUUCGGAUUUACUGGGCGUAAAGGGCGCGUAGGCGGCAUGACAAGUCACUUGUGAAAUCUCUGGGCUUAACCCAGAACGGCCAAGUGAUACUGUCGCGCUAGAGUGCAGAAAGGGCAACUGGAAUUCUUGGUGUAGCGGUGAAAUGCGUAGAUAUCAAGAGGAACACCUGAGGUGAAGACGGGUUGCUGGGCUGACACUGACGCUGAGGCGCGAAAGCCAGGGGAGCAAACGGGAUUAGAUACCCCCGUAGUCCCUGAGCGGGCUGGCAAGGCGCAU